Long non-coding RNA from Dipodomys spectabilis (banner-tailed kangaroo rat), 217 nucleotides. RefSeq lists it as uncharacterized. The transcript is spliced from 2 exons. NCBI's taxonomy places the organism in Eukaryota, Metazoa, Chordata, Mammalia, Rodentia, Heteromyidae. The record is from RefSeq and is a predicted model, not a curated record.
UUCAAACCUGCAAUGAGAAAGAAGAAUGCAUAUGGGAUUUCAUAACUCUGUGUUUAGAAGGGAUUUCAUAACUCUUGUUUCUAGAAGCGAUUUCUGUGAAGCCCGCCCUUAGGGUGAAAGCUAAAAUGUUUGUUUUCUGACUGAACACACAGAGAAUCCACUCACCUCUUCAAACAUGUGCAUAUGUCAAAAUAAAGCAAAACAAAACAAUACCAAA